UAUUCCCCCGUUUUCCAGUGGCCGCCUGAUUGCCAAAACUUGAACUAUAUUCCCUCGUUCUCCAGAUUGUCUCCUGAUUGCCAAAACUUGAACUGUAUUCCUCUAUAUUCUAGGUGGGCGCCUGAUAGCCAAUACUUGAACUGUAUUCCCUGUUCUCCAGAUGGGUGCCUGAUUGCCAAAACUUGAACUAUAUUCCCUUAUUCUCCAGGUGGGCUCCUGAUUGCCAAAACUUGAACUGUACUCGCUUGUUCUCCAGGUAGGCGCCUGGUUGCCAAAACUUGAACUAUAUUCCCUCGUUCUCCCGGUUGUCUCCUGAUUGCCAAAACUUGAACUGUACUCGCUUGUUCUCCAGGUGGGAGCCUGAUUGCCAAAACAUGAACUAUAUUCCCUUGUUCUCAGGGUAGGCGCCUGAUUGCCAAAACUUGAACCACAUUCCCUUGUUCUCCAGGUGGGUGCCUGAUUGCCAAAACUUGAACUGUAUUCUCUCGUUUUCCAGGUGGGCGCAUUUUUGCAAAAACUUGAACUAUAUUCCCUUGUUCUCCAGGUGGGCGCCAAAUUGCCAAAACUUGAACUGUGGUCCCUUGUUCUCCAGGUGGGCGCCUUUUUGCUAGAACUUGAAUUGUAUUUCCUUAUUCCCAAGGUAGGCGCCUGAUU
Molecule: long non-coding RNA, 654 nt
Filed under: Nicotiana tabacum (common tobacco)
Lineage: Eukaryota; Viridiplantae; Streptophyta; Magnoliopsida; Solanales; Solanaceae
Description: long non-coding RNA (NTAB_LNC009176)
Source: RNAcentral